UACGUAGGGUGCAAGCGUUAUCCGGAAUUAUUGGGCGUAAAGAACUCGUAGGCGGUUUGUCGCGUCUGCUGUGAAAACUGGAGGCUCAACCUCCAGCCUGCAGUGGGUACGGGCAGACUAGAGUGCGGUAGGGGAGAUUGGAAUUCCUGGUGUAGCGGUGAAAUGCGCAGAUAUCAGGAGGAACACCGGUGGCGAAGGCGGGUCUCUGGGCCGUAACUGACGCUGAGGAGCGAAAGCGUGGGGAGCGAACAGG
RNAcentral lists this ribosomal RNA (253 nucleotides) under uncultured bacterium. RNAcentral's name for it is "partial 16S ribosomal RNA". It matches the Rfam family "Bacterial small subunit ribosomal RNA", at positions 524 to 776 of the family's 1533-position model. The record is from RNAcentral.